CUUUCUUUCCCUCAUUUUUUUUUUCAUUGACAUAUUUAUAAACGUUUUCUUUUCGUCUACCUGUAGCUGGCAUUUACCCCAACUUUUUUUGUUCUCAGCUGUGGCUGAAUAUUCUUGCUUCAUUGCCGCCUUCCUUCUUCAUUUCCAGUUGACAGCAUCAUUGUAAAGAUGAGUUAAAAAGAAAAUUGGAAACACUGCUUACUUCACAACUAUGCACUAAGUGCCCUAGCUAUGCAGUCUUGCAGAGAAGCUCACAAUGAGAGCAUGCUGCACCACAGACAGGUCUUUUCUCUGAAGAUGUCAACCAAUCUUGCUGGAACAGCUGGUGUUUUACCAUUGCUGUUGUGUUGCUGUGCAAAGGUGGCCUUGAGCAGAUUGAUACAGGACAAGAUUCACCGUAUCACAUACGCAUUUCAGAUCUGAUUUCUUUUUCAUCCUUAUUUAUCAUCCUUUUUAUUCCUGAGCCCGAUAGGAUCAAAGCUGGGAAAUACCAUCUCCUGUGGGAAAGUGAUCCCUGCUUUCCAGAGGG
Molecule: non-coding RNA, 529 nt
Organism: Taeniopygia guttata (zebra finch)
Lineage: Eukaryota; Metazoa; Chordata; Aves; Passeriformes; Estrildidae
Source: RefSeq, a predicted model, not a curated record